Molecule: small nuclear RNA, 107 nt
Organism: Colobus angolensis palliatus
Lineage: Eukaryota; Metazoa; Chordata; Mammalia; Primates; Cercopithecidae
Source: Ensembl
GUACUUGCUUUGAUAGCACACACAGUAACAUUUGCAAUGUACAGGGAAGAUUAACUGACCUGCUGCACAAAGAUGACACACAAAUUUAUGAAGAUGGUUCUUUUUAU